RNAcentral lists this unclassified non-coding RNA (202 nucleotides) under uncultured Entoloma. RNAcentral describes it as "sequence contains ITS2". The record is from RNAcentral. Lineage: Eukaryota; Fungi; Basidiomycota; Agaricomycetes; Agaricales; Entolomataceae.
AAUUCUCAACCUUUCUGACUUUUUCAAAGUUAGUCUGGCUUGGAUCUUGGAAGUUGCUGGUUUUUACGAAUCAGCUCUUCUCAAAUAUAUUAGCAGUCCUUUGCUGACUGUCUUUGGUAUGAUAAUUAUCUAUAUCACUGACAGGCAGCUUCCCUCGUGGAGAGGUUCUGCUUCUAAUAGUCUUUUGAAGACAACUUGACAA